Molecule: long non-coding RNA, 1237 nt
Filed under: Zonotrichia albicollis (white-throated sparrow)
Lineage: Eukaryota; Metazoa; Chordata; Aves; Passeriformes; Passerellidae
Description: lncRNA (ENSZALG00000009167.1)
Source: RNAcentral
CAUCCCAGGCCACUGUCACCUGUGUCACCAGGCAGCUGGAACUGUCCCCAAUGUCCCCAAUGACCCCAAUGUCCCCAAACCCCAUCCCAGGUGCGUCCCCAGGUGUCCCCUCACCUGCCACCUGCACGGUGACCCUCAAUGGCACAUCCCAGGCCACGUGUGUCACCAGGCAGCUGGAGCUGUCUCAAAUGUCCCCAAUGACCCAAACUCUAUCCCCAGGUGUCCCCAGUGUCCCAAACCCUGUCCUCUCACCUGCCACCUGCACAGUGACCCUGAGUGGCACAUCCCAGGCCACGUGUGUCACCAGGCAGCUGGAGCUGUCCCCAAUGUCCCAAUGUCCCCAGUGUCCCCAAACCCCAUCCCAGGUGUGUCCCCAGGUGUUCCAACCCUGUCCCCAAUGUCCCAAACCCUGUCCCCUCACCUGCCACCUGCACGGUGACCCUGAGUGGCACGUCCCAUGCCACGUGUGUCACCAGGCAGCUGGAACUGUCCCCUGCUGUGCCUAACCCUGUCCCUGAUGUCCCCAAACCCCAUCCCAGGUAUGUCCCCAAUGUCCCCAGGUGUGUCCCCUCACCUGCCACGUGCACGGUGACCCUCAGUGGCACAUCCCAGGCCACGUGUGUCACCAGGCAGCUGGAGCUGUCCGUAAUGUCCCCAAUGUCCCCAAACCCUGUCCCCAAUGUCCUCAGGUGUCCCCAGUGACUCAAACCCUGUCCCCAAUGUCCCCAAUGUCCCAAACUCCAUCCCUGCUGUCCCCAGGUGUGUCCCCAGGUGUCCCCUCACCUGCCACCUGCACGGUGACCCUCAAUGACACAUCCGAGGCCACGUGUGUCACCAGGCAGCUGGAGCUGUCCCCUGCUGUGCCUAAACGUGUCCCUGAUGUCCCCAAACCCCAUCCCAGGUGUCCCCUCACCUGCCACCUGCACGGUGACCCUCAGUGGUGUGUCCCAUGCCACGUGUGUCACCAGGCAGCUGGAGCUGUCCCCAGUGUCCCCAAACCCCAUCCCAGGUGUGUCCUCAGUGACUCAAAUCCCAUCCUUGAUGUCCCCAGGUGUCCCCAAACUCUGUCCCCAGAGUCCCCAACUCCAACCCUUGGUAUCUCAAGAUCCUCCAAACCCUGUCCCAGGUGUCCCCAAUGUCCCCAAACCCUGUCCCUGAUGUCCCCAGGUGUCCCCAACUCCAAUCCUGGUGUCCCAAGAUCCUCCAAACCCUGUCCCAGGUGUCCCCAAUGUCCCCA